Molecule: ribosomal RNA, 928 nt
Filed under: Chlorella pituita
Lineage: Eukaryota; Viridiplantae; Chlorophyta; Trebouxiophyceae; Chlorellales; Chlorellaceae
Description: partial 18S ribosomal RNA
Rfam family: Eukaryotic small subunit ribosomal RNA
Source: RNAcentral
CCAGGUUGGUGUGAUAGCAUGAUGUCUAAGUAUAAACUGCUUUAUACUGUGAAACUGCGAAUGGCUCAUUAAAUCAGUUAUAGUUUAUUUGAUGGUACCUACUACUCGGAUACCCGUAGUAAAUCUAGAGCUAAUACGUGCGUAAAUCCCGACUUCUGGAAGGGACGUAUUUAUUAGAUAAAAGGCCGACCGGGCUCUGCCGCCCUCGGGGGGAAUCAGGAAACUUUCACGAACGCAUGGGCCUUCCCCGGCCAUUUUUCAUUUCAAAUUUCGCCCCUACCACCUUCCAAGGGAAGAAUAAAGCCCUACAAGGGGGGAACCGGGGGGCCGAGGGAUUAGGGUCCAAUUCGGGGGGGGGAGGCCUGGGAAACGCUACCAAAUCCCAGGAAAGCAGCCGGGGGCGCAAAUACCCCAUCCUUGAACAGGGGGGGUGUGGACAUAAAAAAACCAUUCUUGGCCUUUUCAAGGCCGGGUAAUGGGAUUAGGUCCAACUAAAACCCCUUAACCGGGAUUCAUUUGGGGGCCAGGCUUGUGGCCAGCACCCCGGUAAUUUCCAGCUCCAUAGCGAAAAUUUAGGUGGCUCCAGUUAAAAAAGCUCGUAGUUGGAUUUCGGGUGGGCCUUGCGGUCCGCCGUUUCCGGUGUGCCACUGGCAGGGCCACCUUGGUAACGGGAACGGCUCCUUGGCUUCACUGUCCGGGACUCGGAGUCGGCGCUGUUACUUUGAGUAAUAGAGGUGCAAGCCAGGCUACGUCUGAUCAUAAGCAUGCAUUACCGAUAGGAACUCUGGCAACUGUGGCUGGAGACGGAUUAUGGAUUAGAGUCAGUCGAGCAUCCGGAUCAGUGUCAGCUACUCUGGAGUGAGCAGCCGACUACCUGCUGACCGUUUGGCACGAUGUUCAUAUCCGAUCGAUUGCGGAGUCUGUAGCC